Molecule: ribosomal RNA, 492 nt
Filed under: uncultured bacterium
Lineage: Bacteria
Description: partial 16S ribosomal RNA
Rfam family: Bacterial small subunit ribosomal RNA
Source: RNAcentral
AGUGAACGCUGGCGGCAGGCCUAACACAUGCAAGUCGAACGGCAGCACAGUAAGAGCUUGCUCUUACGGGUGGCGAGUGGCGGGCGGGUGAGGAAUACAUCGGAAUCUACUUUUUCGGGGGGGAUAACGUAGGGAAACUUACGCUAAUACCGCAUACGACCUACGGGGGAAAGCAGGGGAUCUUCGGACCUUGCGCGAUUGAAUGAGCCGAUGUCGGAUUAGCUAGUGGGCGGGGUAAAGGCCAACCAAGGCGUCGAUCCGUAGCUCGCCUGAGAGGAUGGUCACCCACACUGGAACUGGGACACGGUCCUUAGUCCUGCGGUAGGCAGCAGUGUCGAAUGUUGGACAAUGGGCGCAAGUCUUGUCCAGCCAGCCCGCGUGUGUGGAGAAGGCCUUCGGGUUGUAAUGCCCUUUUUUUGGUUAAGAAAAGCAGCAGGUUAAUACCCCGCUGUAGUGACGGUACCCGAAGAAGAAGCACCGGCUAACUACGUG